UACGUAGGGGGCAAGCGUUGUCCGGAAUCAUUGGGCGUAAAGAGCGUGUAGGCGGCCCGAUAAGUCCGCUGUGAAAGUCCAGGGCUCAACCCUGGAAUGCCGGUGGAUACUGUCGGGCUCGAAUCCGGAAGAGGUGAGUGGAAUUCCUGGUGUAGCGGUGAAAUGCGCAGAUAUCAGGAGGAACACCAAUGGCGAAGGCAGCUCACUGGGACGGUAUUGACGCUGAGGCACGAAAGCGUGGGGAGCAAACAGG
This 253-nucleotide ribosomal RNA is filed under the name uncultured bacterium. RNAcentral describes it as "partial 16S ribosomal RNA". It matches the Rfam family "Bacterial small subunit ribosomal RNA", at positions 524 to 776 of the family's 1533-position model. The record is from RNAcentral.